GCCCGGAUGGCGAAAUUGGUAGACGCAGCGGACUUAAAAUCCGCCGACCCUAAACAGGUCAUACGGGUUCGAUUCCCGUUCUGGGCACCA
RNAcentral lists this transfer RNA (90 nucleotides) under Burkholderiales bacterium. RNAcentral's name for it is "tRNA-Leu". It matches the Rfam family "tRNA". Rfam says of the family: Transfer RNA (tRNA) molecules are approximately 80 nucleotides in length. Their secondary structure includes four short double-helical elements and three loops (D, anti-codon, and T loops). Lineage: Bacteria; Pseudomonadati; Pseudomonadota; Betaproteobacteria; Burkholderiales. RNAcentral also lists the same sequence under 2 other names. The record is from RNAcentral.